Molecule: long non-coding RNA, 322 nt
Filed under: Linum usitatissimum (flax)
Lineage: Eukaryota; Viridiplantae; Streptophyta; Magnoliopsida; Malpighiales; Linaceae
Description: long non-coding RNA (LUSI_LNC001063)
Source: RNAcentral
UCCUACAUAACCGCUGCCAGGAGUUAGCACGAAUAGCAUUGAUUUUCUUGCUCUUAUUGGAAGUCUUUUACACUUCACUCUUUUUUUGCUAUUCAGAGCAUGCAAAAGUUGAACAGCUUAGGGAAAUUUGUUAAACCUCACACGCUUGCUCUCUCUUUCGUCGCAUAAUGGCUAAAUCACUAUUAAAUGUGCUCCUUGGGUUAUCUUUCAUUUGGUAGAUUGUGUUGUCCCUCUGCAGGCUGAAGACACAACUGGAAUAGUGGAAGAAGGCCACAAUGGUCACAAGUGGAAGAAGAAAAACCUGUUUCUAGAGAUACCAACA